GCGUAGGCGGCUUAGCAAGCCAGGGGUGAAAGGCAUUGGCUCAACCCAAUGUUAAGCCUUUGGAACUGUUAAGCUUGAGUGCAGGAGAGGUAAGUGGAAUUCCUAGUGUAGAGGUGAAAAUUCGUAGAUAUUAGGAGGAACACCAGUGGCGAAGGGCGACUUACUGGACUGUAAACUGACGGCUUGAUGCACGAAAGCGUGGGUAGCGAACAGGAUUAGAUACCCUGGUAG
Molecule: ribosomal RNA, 231 nt
Filed under: uncultured bacterium
Lineage: Bacteria
Description: partial 16S ribosomal RNA
Rfam family: Bacterial small subunit ribosomal RNA
Source: RNAcentral